This is a non-coding RNA of Equus caballus (horse), 2511 nucleotides long. Lineage: Eukaryota; Metazoa; Chordata; Mammalia; Perissodactyla; Equidae. The record is from RefSeq and is a predicted model, not a curated record.
ACAAGGACAAGGACAACCACUAUUAUUUUACAGAUGGGGAAACGGAAACCUGAAGAGGUCAUGGAGUUGGUGUAGGUCACACCGAUUGUAGACAGCAGAACCAGGUUUUAAACUAGCCCAUUCUCCAAUAUUCUUCCUUAUGAGACUGUAGAAACAAACAACUGUAUUAAUGUGUGAUGUGUCCUAGAGGCUAGGAUGACGCUCCUCCUGGGUGACUAUGAGCUUCUUUGCCUCUCCAUUUCUCCUGCACCCUAAUCAGUUCCUGUCUCCUGCCCUUCAUUCCUUCUUUUCCUGCUAUUUCUCUGCAUGGAUCUCCUCCUCAGCCUCUUGGUGGCUGCUUUCCCUGUCAGCCUUUCUCCCUUUCCCCUCUGUCUGCCUGCCUCUCUUACUCCACCGUGUCUGAAUACUUAUACCAAACUCCUAAAUUAAAAAACAAAAUUGUUCGCAGUUCUCAGAGGAGGGAGGGGCGGGAGAGGAAGUACUCGGGCUCUGGGUUAAAUUCAGGUCUUUGACUGUUGAUCAAUUGCUAAAAAGUUAACAGUGUUUCCUUCCUGUGCAUGUUCACAAUUAUUGUGGUUGCAGUGGUUGUGUAUGUGCAUCCGUGUGUCCUCCUACAUGACAUAUACAAGUGUGGGUGGAAUAUUGCCUUUAUUGGUAAAGACCUGCCAGCUGGUGCCAGGGUGCUCAGACUGCCUACUGCUCUUGAGUCACAUGCUGAAAACUUCAUAAUGAAACCCGAAAAUCACAGAAGCAUAAACACAGCUGCUUUUGCCUAUUAAGUAAGUGGUUUACAAGGGAAAGCAUAAUCAGAAGAAUCUAGUGUUUAGUCAAUUACAUUAACAGCAGACAAAUAGAAAUCAUAUGUAUUUGACAGGAGGCCAUUUUAAGAAACUGUAUAUUUGUAUGCAGCAAACAUAAUGAGACAUCUUAAAAGAAAUGUCAUCCAUUAUUCAUAAACUUGAAUAAAACACAAAGAGUUCUCCAGAAAAACCAGAAAAUUAAAAUUAUGUUAAAAAUGUGAGGGUUUUGAUUUUAGUAGCUCAUUUUAUUUCUUAAAUUGUUUCAGAGGUGCUUUUUCUUUUUAAGUGAUUACAACCAAAGAGAUUUACUAUAUCUUGAAUAUGCUAGAGAUAUUAUUUCAGAAAACCCUGUAUGUUGGGGGAUUUCCAAGGCUGUGAGAAUCACAAUCUCUAUCGUAAUUUGAAUUGGUUGGGAGAGGGCCAUAAAGAAUAGUCAGACCCAGUGGGGUGUGGCAGGUGAUUAAGAAACUUCCCUCCAUGGAUGAUAGAAGGUCAUCAGUGAAGACAGCUGGACCAUCAGGGAAAUCUUGCAGCAGGCAAAGGUCAGAGGUCAAAGCUCAAAAGACCCAUUGUUGCCUCAUUGGUGGAGUUUCAGCCCCCGGGAUCAGAACACAAAAAAAUCACUGAUGAAGUUGAAAAGGAACCAGGAAGACCCCUGUGCUGGGAGGAGGUACAAGGAUCGUGCUAUUGGAAUUGGGGCUCAAGUCAAGGGCGUGGCACAAGAAGUAUUUCCAGCACAUCCAGACAUAAGGCUCCAGGCCAGGAAUUUCACCCAGAGGAGUUGUUUCAGACUAAGAACAACUGUUGAAAAUAGAAUCAUGAUAAAAAAAUCAAGGAAGGCAGGAAAAGGCAGCACCUGUGGCAGGAGAAACGGAUGAGCUCCCGUGCAUCCCAGUCCUCUGCGGCAGGGAGUCACAGUACAUGGCGUCCACCUCAUAGCCCAAGAUGGCUGCUUAAUUUCCAGCUAUGGCUUCUGAAGUCCAGUCAGCAGAAAGGAGGAAGUACAAGAGAUAUCGAGUUUAUGAGAUAUCAAGAGAGUCCUGACACCAAAGGAAUUCAGUACAGUGAAGAAGACGCACAUGCAAAUAUAUAACGUGAAACAAAGCAAUGACUGCAUAGUAGAGCAGUGUGUAAAAUGUUACACGAAUAGAAGAAGACUGGUGGACAAGAAGGGAAACCCACAGCUGAGACCUGCCAGGAUAAGCAGGCUUUUCCCAGGAGAAAAUGGGGAGGGGAGAGUGGAGAAUAAAGGGGUGGAUUGUUGAGGUGGGUGACUGUCAUUCCAGUCAGAAAGCACAGUAAGUGUAAAGGUGUUUCCAAAUAGUGUGGACUUUCCAUAGAAUCUCUGAAACUCAUAAAGUGCCUUUUGAAAUAUUAUCCAGUCACUGAUUUCACUGUAUUGUAGUUCUUUUUUUAAGUCAACAGUGACACUUUGUUGUUUCUUCUGCCCUUAACAUUGUUUUAAAACUCACUUUGAAAUUUAAAAACAAACCAAAAAGUGAGCCUCUAAUCACAUUUCCUAGAAAACAGAGAAGAAAAUAUUAUCUGAAAUGGCUCUUUCAUUGACUUAUCCAUGACUUGUAAUCCAGUUCCACUACCAUGAAUAAGCACCUAUAUGUAUAUGGCAGUAUUUUUCAAACUGACUUUCUUUUUUUUUUUUAAAGAUUGGCUCUGAGCUAACAUCUAUUGCCAAUCUUUUUUUUCUUCUCCC